Molecule: ribosomal RNA, 494 nt
Filed under: uncultured bacterium
Lineage: Bacteria
Description: partial 16S ribosomal RNA
Rfam family: Bacterial small subunit ribosomal RNA
Source: RNAcentral
GACGAACGCUGGCGGCGUGCUUAACACAUGCAAGUCGAACGGAAAGGCCUGCUUUCCCUUGUGGAUUGCGGGUACUCGAGUGGCGAACGGGUGAGUAACACGUGAGUGAUCUGCCCCCAACUUGGGUAUAAGCCUGGGAAACUGGGUCUAAUUCCCGAUAGGACUGCAGGGUGGUGCCUGUGGUGGAAAACGAUUUUCUAGUGGUUGGGGAUGAGCUCGCGGCCUAUCAGCUUGUUGGUGGGGUAAUGGCCUACCAAGGCGGCGACGGGUAGCCGGCCUGAGAGGGUGGACGGCCACAUUGGGUCUGAGAUACGGCCCAGACUCCUACGGGAGGCAGCAGUGGGGAAUAUUGCACAAUGGGCGGAAGCCUGAUGCAGCGACGCCGCGUGGGGGAUGACGGCCUUCGGGUUGUAAACUCCUUUCGACCGCGAGGAAGCCACCUGGUUGGAAGGGUGGUGACGGUAGUGGUAGAAGAAGCACUGGCUAACUACGUG